GCCUGAUUUGUGUUGUGUGUCCUGAUAGUUGUUUACAGAAUAAUCUUAGAACUGUGUAGUUUAGAAAUCACUGGAACAAUUACAGAAUGAUUGGAACUUUCCAGAAUGAUCCUAAUAAAAGAUGCGUUAUAUAAACUUCUACCUUUUACUAGAAACUUCCGUUGUAACUUUCUAGGAUGUUCCAUUAUAGAGUGUUCUAGAACUUUCCU
RNAcentral lists this long non-coding RNA (209 nucleotides) under Mytilus galloprovincialis (Mediterranean mussel). The record is from RNAcentral. Lineage: Eukaryota; Metazoa; Mollusca; Bivalvia; Mytilida; Mytilidae.